Molecule: unclassified non-coding RNA, 361 nt
Filed under: Hevea brasiliensis (rubber tree)
Lineage: Eukaryota; Viridiplantae; Streptophyta; Magnoliopsida; Malpighiales; Euphorbiaceae
Source: RNAcentral
GCAUUAAAAACCAUUUCCCUUCAAACCCCCUUUUCUUUUCUUCCCUUCCUCCUCAUCUUCUCAAACAAAGAAGCUGCAACAAAAUGCUCAAUAACUUACUUAACCCCACCUAUAUAGAAACUUAUAAACCCAAAACAUUAUUUAUAUCUACAUAACAAGACAGCAGCUUGCUCCUGCUUCGUUACAAUAAAAAUUUACGAGUCUUAAAUAUUCCAAAACAACCUCUUUGGCUUCUCUUUCUUCGCCUUCUUUGUUUCUUUUUUUCCCCUUUUCAUUUUCGCCUUGAAUGUCACAUGAGACACACCACCCUCUCCAGUACAUUACUGCUACAUUAUCAUAAACCUAACUUCGUGGUUCUUUU